GACGAACGCUGGCGGCGUGCCUAAUACAUGCAAGUAGAACGCACAGUUUAUACCGUAGCUUGCUACACCAUAGACUGUGAGUUGCGAACGGGUGAGUAACGCGUAGGUAACCUGCCUGGUAGCGGGGGAUAACUAUUGGAAACGAAAGCUAAUACCGCAUAAUAUUAAUUAUUGCAUGAUAAUUAAUUGAAAGGUGCAAUUGCACCACUACCAGAUGGACCUGCGUUGUAUUAGCUAGUAGGUGAGGUAACGGCUCACCUAGGCGACGAUACAUAGCCGACCUGAGAGGGUGAUCGGCCACACUGGGACGGAGACACGGCCCAGACUCCUACGGGAGGCAGCAGUAGGGAAUCUUCGGCAAUGGACGAAAGUCUGACCGAGCAACGCCGCGUGAGUGAAGAAGGUUUUCGGAUCGUAAAGCUCGGUUGUAAGAGAAGAACGGGUGUGAGAGUGGAAAGUUCACACUGUGACGGUAUCUUACCAGAAAGGGACGGCUAACUACGUG
This 505-nucleotide ribosomal RNA is filed under the name uncultured bacterium. RNAcentral's name for it is "partial 16S ribosomal RNA". It matches the Rfam family "Bacterial small subunit ribosomal RNA", at positions 28 to 507 of the family's 1533-position model. The record is from RNAcentral.